Cyprinus carpio (common carp) is the source of this 2167-nucleotide long non-coding RNA. NCBI's taxonomy places the organism in Eukaryota, Metazoa, Chordata, Actinopteri, Cypriniformes, Cyprinidae. The record is from Ensembl.
AUUCAUGAGAGCUAGAGAGCAGAGCAGACGGCUCCUUAUGCUUUCGGAUCGCUCUCGCACCUACUUUGCUGUCUUUUUUUUUUUUUUUUUUGAGCAGUGACGAUUCUAUCGAACGAACGAACGAACACGUGCGCAUAUUGCAUCGCUUUGAUUGUUCCAUGUAGAUCUCGCCUUCUCACGCGCAGCCCCACGAUUGGUCGAUUAUGUAUAAUACCUGCAUGUUAUUGGUCAAACUGCUUUGGACGUUUUAGGCAAUAUUAAAAUCUGGCCGGGACGUGUCCCGUAUGAACGGCGCAUAUGGUCACCCUACAGUAGCUGCUCUAAAGAUUUUGAUCCUUUGACUAUUAAUCAAGUGGCUACAGUUCUGUGUUACUGGAGUGCAAGUAUAGUCCCGCUGCCCUGGACUUUAAAGAGGAAGCGUUGUAUGAAGUCUCCCGUUCGUCUGCCUGGUUUCUCGUCAUCGCUGUUCGUCUGACCCUGGAACCCCGUCCACUCUUCACCACCGGAUGCCACUACUCACCACCACGGACUGCUCAUCUCAGGCCUGUGUCACGCUCUCCUGCUGCCUCACCUCACCGCCACUUCCGGGAUCACCGUCAGUCAUCACCGCGACCAUCUGUUGUUCCCCCUGGAUUUAUUUGUAUACCGGACUUUAAUAAACCUAUUUGUUUCACUCUUGCACUUGCUUCCUCACCCUUUGUUACUGUUACAAUAAGCAUAAAUAGCGUUUUAAGGUACAGAGUACCAAAAGGAGGGAAAAAUAGGCCAUUAGUAAAUCUAGACGCUAUAGCUAUUGAUGAUUUAUCCCUCACAAUAGAAUGGAAAAACUGGAAAAAAACUGGUUUAAGAUAAAGGAUUAAUAACUAUUAUUUGGGAUUAAAUUGGAUGAAGGCCAGUAUUUGUAAUAGUAGUGUAGAAAUACUAGGUGAUCAGAUUAAAGUAGGCCCGAAAUGGUACGAAGAACGAGGUGAAUUUAUCCGAACUGGUUACGAAGGAGUUAAAAAGGCCGCAGUCUUUGACUUUGUUUCAAAAGACGUGGAUAGGAUGGACUGAUUUUCUGGUUAACGCAGGAUGGUAUAUCCUCCACGGAGGGUUGAUUAUAAUAGGAUUAAUGAUGAUGUUCACCGGAGUAAAAUGUUUUUGUAAUGUAGAAGGUCAAAGAAUGUGCUCUGGUAAACCAAACAGAGAUGAUAAAUUAGCUGUCUUAGAAAGUUUCUUAGAUUUCCAAACUAAGAGGUAUAAACGAUUUAAGAGGAGAAAAAAGAAGCAACGACAGGAAGCAUUUGCUAUUAGAGGCAGCUGCUAAAAAGGGAAACGAUGUUGGAAGAGAGUGAGUUAUGAGAGGAAGUAGGAGGAGAGUGCAGACGUAGAAUAGAGUAGAAAAAUGGGGGAUAUGAACAGACAAGCUUACUCACCAAGGAUAACCUAAACUACUGGGGAUUUUUGAUAUACUUUUUGUAUAUUGUUGAAAACAAGUUGUUACAGUCUCCAAGUCCAUCAGAGAUCGAGAUUUGAUAGAGAUAAAAGAAUGGCAACUGUAAGGAUCCACCCGCCGGCCCAAAAAGCGGAAUCCAGCGGCCUGGUCGAAGGUUUAAUGCGUAUUCGGUCUUUUAUUUGCGCUUCUGAAUUUAUCAGGAUUUAGUUUGAAUUUUAGUCUAGCUCCAUGUUUAAUCUGACUCCAAUUUUAUGUGAUCAUUAAAUUUGGGCAAUAUUUCUAUCAAAAGCUGAUCACAGUUAUCGAUUGUUUAUUAAUUUAGAUAUUUGAGUAUUCUGAAAAUCCCAUACUUUCAAUUAUUCGUUCACUGCAGACCAGGUAUUGCUUUAGAAGUAACAUUUCGGCCGAUUGAAUGCUCUUCCCGGACACAAACUCGUCAGUCUGAUCUUAAACAUUGGAUGCAGGGUAAAUAUCUACCUUUAAGUCGGUCGCGCCCUGCUUACUCGUACAAAAAGCAUAGUUUUUAUAUAUUUACGAAAACUGCAACUUAUUUAAGACAGUGAUAGUCAGAAAUUGAAAUGGACUCAAUUGAUGUGCCCCGUGCUCCAUCUAUUAAACCUUUCGUAUGAACAAUCCUGAACACAGAUUUGAGGUAAUACCUUCGCUUUAAUCUACUAGUAAUAAUGAAUUAAGAAUAAUGCAGAAUAAAUCAAAUAUAACAAUUUAUUAUCA